AAGUCGUAACAAGGUCUCCGUAGGUGAACCUGCGGAGGGAUCAUUAACACGAUGAGAGAUGGCUUUAAAACCCGUCUCCCAUUCUCCACCCAACGUGAACUCGGUUGUUUUAGGACUUUCAUUAGUCCAUACUUCAACCAUUCCUCCCUUUGUGUGUUGUGGAACUGUUGGAAUCCGAUGUGUAGUGGGCCAAUUGCUGGCCAUCUGUUCCAACUGGUCGAGCUUUAUUGACUCGACGGUUCCCAACGACUUAGGCUACUAAGCACAACUCUUAGCAACGGAUAUCUUGGUUCUC
Molecule: unclassified non-coding RNA, 295 nt
Filed under: fungal sp.
Lineage: Eukaryota; Fungi
Description: partial internal transcribed spacer region
Rfam family: Eukaryotic small subunit ribosomal RNA (bases 1-46)
Source: RNAcentral